UCCGGUUUAUCACCGGCAGUCUCCUUAAAGUCCCCGACAUUACUCGCUGGCAACAUGGGAUAAGGGUUGCGCUCGUUGCGGGACUUAACCCAACAUCUCACGACACGAGCUGACGACAGCCAUGCACCACCUAUCGCAGGCCCUUUCGGACACCACAUCUCUGUGGCUUUUCCUGCGUAGUUCAACCCAGGUAAGGUUCUUCGCGUUGCAUCGAAUUAAGCAACAUGCUCCACCGCUUGUGCGGGCCCCCGUCAAUUCCUUUGAGUUUCAGCCUUGCGGCCGUACUCCCCAGGCGGGGCACUUACUGCGUUAGCGACGGCACCGGGAGGGUCGCUCCCCCCGACGCCUAGUGCCCAUCGUUUACGGCGUGGACUAU
Molecule: unclassified non-coding RNA, 376 nt
Filed under: uncultured bacterium
Lineage: Bacteria
Description: contains 16S-23S intergenic spacer region
Source: RNAcentral